GUAGAUGACAAACUGAUGAUAAGACAACAUUUUCAGCCCUAUAAUAUUAUUGUAGGUGCUGGAGGUAUAGUGGUAGACAGACCAGAUAGAGACUCACUGCAAUGUAAAGAAAGUGAACAGGAAUCUAAGAUGGAAAAAAUACAGUGGUUGGUGGGCCUUUUAAAGCAAAUUUGCCAUAUUAUUCUCAAGAGAGUUAUGAUUUUAAAAUGUACUGCAAAUACAUGGAGAAAAAUCUUCUUUAUUUCUAUUCAGUAUUCAGCACAAACCCGGUUUAAAGUUUGGCAGCAAAUUGAAUUUUAGAAACAAUGAGUUUCAGCCCUGUGCAUUAUGGGAAGUACAGCCCACUUGCUGAGUCCUCUGUUCUAAAGGGGAAUGCUAUGCACUUUGUAUGGCAGACCAGAGGCUCUUCAUUUCCGUGCAGAAAGUAGGUUUCGUAUCACAGGAAGCUCCUGCUUUUCUUUUUCUCCAAUGCUCCUUAGGUUUGUGCUCAGAAUGGAAGGGCCUCCCCUGCGCCGCGCCGCCCCUCUUUCCCACGGCCCCAGAAUCUGUGUCCUUUACUUCCUGGCAGUCAUCAGCUGCUGGGUUUUCCUUCUCGUCUUUUCUGAAAGCAGGAAACGCAGAGGAGGUGCCUUGGAGACUGAAGGCAGCUUGCGCAGUGGUCUGACCUCUGCUCCACCCCACUUGGCUCUCUGCCAAGGGCAGUGGGGCAGCCAUGUGACCAAACCUGAUCUUCAGAGGCAGGAGAAUCUCCCUGCCCCCACCCUGGCUACACUAGUACCCAGCUGCUGGAGUCAGUUUUGUUCCCUUAAAGAGCCUGUUCUGAAAUGAUUCCUCCUGCAAUUUCCAGUUGAACUGAUUACUUAGUCACAGCUUAUCCACAUGGUGGGUUCUGCAAUCAAUGGAAGCAUAGAAGGUAGGAGCCAAAUUGCCUGCUGGUGGAUAAAUGAUGGGCUGAAUAUGACAGGUCCAGGCCAAUCACAAAAUAAUGGGGCAAGUGUCUGGAAUACAGUAAUACAGAGCCUGGUCCCUAGUAGAAGCCGAAAUGUUUUUGAUGAAGGGUUGAUGAUACACAGGAAGAGCUUUAUUAGCUGGAAUGCUGGACUUUCUGUUCUGCUUUGAUUAUCACGAUCCUUCCUGUGAAGGUCAUUGCUAUUCACCAGCUAUUUCUGGCUCUCUGACUUUGGGUAUGUGGUAGGCUUGUACUCCCUGCUCUCUUGCGGUUAGGUGGGGCCAGGUGACUAGUUCUGCCAAAUGUGUUGUCAUUGGAGGGACAUCUGUCCCUUUGGGCAAGAUCAUAUAUCUGCCAGAAGAAGACCCUCCAGACCCACCUUUUCUCUGACAUGAUGAUCAGCAGUGUUUGAGAUGGUGACAGCUCCAUUGGUCUAGAAUUAGUGUCUGCAAUGGGCAGAGGCUUAUGCCAACCUAUAAUAGACAUGUUAGCAGAGCAAAAUAAAACUUUAUUAAUAGCCACUAACCCACUAAGUUAUUUGGAGGUUUUUUUUUGUUUUGUUUUGUUUUUUAAACUGCAGUAUAGUGUGGAUAGUGACUGCAGCCAUGAAUUUAGAAGGUGGUUGCUUCUUGGCAGGAAAGCUAAGACAAACCUAGACAGUGUUCUAAAAAGCAAAGACAUCACUUUGCAGACAAAGGUUCAUAUAGUCAAGGCUACAGUCUUUCCAAUAGUCAUGUAUGGAAGAAGGCUGAGUGCUGAAAAACUGACGCUUUUUAACUGUGAUGCUGGAGAAGACGAUUGAGAGUCACUUGGACAGCAAGGAGAUCAAACCAGUCAAUCUUACAUGAAAUCAAUGCUUGAAUAUUCAUUGGAAGAACUGAUGCUGAGGCUGAAGCUACACUACUUUGGCCACCUGAUGUGAAGAGCCAACUCAUUGGAAAAUACCCUGAUGCUGGAAAGGAUUGAAGGCAGAAGGAGAAGAGGGAGACAGAGGAUGACAUGGUUGGAUGGCAUCACUGAUUCAAUGGACAUGAACUCCAGGGGACGGUGAGGGACAGGAAAGCCUGGGAUGCUGCUGUAGUUCAUGGGUGGAAAAGAGUUGGACACAACUUGGCAACUGAAGAACAACAUAACCUAACCAAGUCUGACUAAAAUAUUCACUAAAUACUAAUAAAUACAAAGUUAAGAUUAUUUUUUAAAUCUCAUUUCAGUGAUUUGAGCCAUCAAUUUAAAAAUAGUACAGAUGAACCUAUUUUCAGGGCAGAAAUAGACAUAGAUGUAGAGAACUGACAUGUGGAAUGGGGUAGGAGGGGAAGAGGAAGGAUGAGCUGGGAGAUUAGGAUGGACAUAUAUACUACCUUGUGUAAAAUAGACAGACAGCUAAUGGGAACUUGAUAUAAAGCACAGGAAGCUCAGUUCGGUGCUCUGUGAUGGCC
This 2385-nucleotide long non-coding RNA is filed under the name Capra hircus (goat). RNAcentral describes it as "lncRNA (ENSCHIG00000006389.1)". Lineage: Eukaryota; Metazoa; Chordata; Mammalia; Artiodactyla; Bovidae. The record is from RNAcentral.